UUUCCCUCAGGAUAGCUGGCACUCGCUUGAGCGAGUCUCAUCUGGUAAAGCGAAUGAUUAGAGGCCUUGGGGCCGAAACGACCUCAACCUAUUCUCAAACUUUAAAUGGGUGAGAUCUCUGGCUUGCUUGAACGUUGAAGCCACGAGAAUAUGGAUCAGAGUGCCAAGUGGGCCAAUUUUGGUAAGCAGAACUGGCGCUGUGGGA
Molecule: ribosomal RNA, 205 nt
Filed under: Aphelininae gen. n. 2 sp. D1354
Lineage: Eukaryota; Metazoa; Arthropoda; Insecta; Hymenoptera; Aphelinidae
Description: partial 28S ribosomal RNA
Rfam family: Eukaryotic large subunit ribosomal RNA
Source: RNAcentral